Small nucleolar RNA from Rattus rattus (black rat), 104 nucleotides. RefSeq annotates it as small nucleolar RNA U13. The record is from RefSeq and is a predicted model, not a curated record. Lineage: Eukaryota; Metazoa; Chordata; Mammalia; Rodentia; Muridae. The transcript has a single exon.
AUCCUUUUGUAGCCUGUAAGUGUAAUAACUGGGUUUUCAUGCCAUUAUGUAAGAUACAUCUCCUUUAAACAUUAUUAUCAUGCAGGCACAUUAACUGUCAGACA